AUAGCUGGGAAGAAAAAGAGGAACACACUAGUUAAUCUUUGCAGUGUAAACCCGGGUCUUCAGUAUAUUCUGUCCAUAUCUUCACCUAUGCUUUAGUUGAGGCUAUGUGUUACUUAAAUGACAUGAAAGUGGAAAUAGCAUGAAACACUUCUAGAACUGUCUAUUAAAACCUACCUCCUUCUUUCCUUUCCCUUGCCUCUAGAUGAUCAACAGCAAUUACUAUGAUGGCCUUGAAAGCCAUUCCUAAACAUCUGGGUUCUUAAAGAUGUAGCAGAGAGCUCUCUUACCCCUGCUCAGACUAGGAACAUAUAUACAGGAUUAUCUUACCAAGCCUCUCUGGACUGUUAGAUGAGGAAGAAGGAAAGCUCUACUAUAUUAUCCUUGACCCUUUACAUAGAGUCUUCAUUAUAAUGAUUUAUUUCCUUCUUGUUAGUCUGGAAUCUGAUAUUCAACAAAGAGACUGUCAACAGCUAAAGUGAAAAUAUAUUACACUUGCUAACAGCCAGACUGGAGGCAAUGUGGAAUUAAACAUUGUGAGCUAGGAAGAGAAAGACUGGUGUGUGGUAGCUUGGAUGAGAAUGGCCUCCACAGGUUCAUAUAUUUGAAUGCCUACUCCCAGUUGAUUGACUGCUUCAGAGAUACGGCCUUGUUGGAGAUGUGUAAUGGAGGGAUGGCUUUGAGGUUUCUAAAGCCCAUAUCAGUCUCAUUCUCUCUCCUCCUGCAAACUUGUGGACAGGAUGAUGUUGGCUCUCAACCACUCCUUCAGUGCCAUGCUUGUCUGCCUGCUGCCACGCUCCCCACCAUGAUCUUCAUGGACUUAGCCUUUGAAAUGGACCAUCUCCCACGGAGACCAAGACAGAGAAGUGUGCCCCGGGAUAGGAAGAAGGAAGAACUGGAUGGCUAUUUGAAAAUCAAGGGCCUGGAGAGGGCUUGAUGGUCACCAGAAUCCAUUCUCUCCUUGUUAUGGUUUUGAUAGAAAAUGUCCCUAACAAGCUCGUGUGUUUGAACACUUGGUUCCCAGCUGAUGGAAUGUUUUGGGGGUGUUGUGGAAUCCCUAAAAGGAAGAGCCUAGCUGGAGUAAGUAGGUUACAAUAGUGCUCUCUUGAGUGCACAUCACCCCUAGAUCCUCCCUGCUUGCCUGGCCCUGGCCCUGGCCCUGGCCCUGGCCCACUGAGAUGACGUGAGGAACACUACCACAUGCAGCUCCUUCAAGGAACUCCUUCAUACCUUCUUUGCUGUGCCAGACUGAAUCCUCCCAAUCUAGUAGACAAAAUAGACCCUCCCUUAAGUCACUUCUUCCCAAGUACUCGAUCACAUAGAUGAGAAAAGUCAUGAAUGUCCUCCUAUACAUGGACUGCACUAGUUUCUUGCUGCUCUUGGGUUGGUUAACUCAGGUGGCAAACAAAGUGAUAAUCUGACCCAAUACAGGAGUUCUCAUGACGAACAAAACUGCUACAUCAGCCUGUUGAUUCCUAAACUCUUCCCUGGCUGUAGACUUGCCCCGAUCAAGUUACAGCAGCAUCCACGAGACCUGUAAUAGAAGCCAUCACUUACCUGUACAUGCUGAAGACUGUGUUGCCGUUGUGCAUAAGGUACACAUACACUUCCUCUACGUCCUCAUGCUUCAUCAUGCUGAAGGUGAAGAAAUACACACCUGGAGAGAGCAGGGAUUUACGCAUUCACUUAUACAUAGGCAAUGAGUCUUGUGAUCUCAUACCUGGCUUUGUUACUUUCCUGUUAUUGUGUAGUUUCUUCAUGGCCUGUUGCUAUGACUAUCCUCUCAUCUGUUUACCUUAAAAGUGCUGUAUUUUUAACUUUCCUAAUGUAUUUCCUGGUUAUACUUAGUGAGAUUUUUAAAAACCAUUAAUGUAAUGAGUCAAACAUGGCAUUAAAAUGGACAACCACAUCCCACAAAUGUUAGCCAAGAUGAUAAAAUACUGGAGCACAGAAAGGGUUCAGGAAAUGUUUCACAUGACUGCUGUAAAUGAGUAAUGUGUAAAUAAAAAUAUCCAACUUUAACUCA
Mus musculus (house mouse) is the source of this 2023-nucleotide long non-coding RNA. RefSeq annotates it as predicted gene, 52174. The record is from RefSeq and is a predicted model, not a curated record. Lineage: Eukaryota; Metazoa; Chordata; Mammalia; Rodentia; Muridae. The transcript is spliced from 2 exons.